Molecule: long non-coding RNA, 2407 nt
Organism: Oncorhynchus keta (chum salmon)
Lineage: Eukaryota; Metazoa; Chordata; Actinopteri; Salmoniformes; Salmonidae
Exons: 3
Source: RefSeq, a predicted model, not a curated record
UGUGUGUGUGUGUGUGUGUGUGUGUGUGUGUGUGUGUGUGUGUGUGUGUGUGUGUGUGUGUGUGUGUGUGUGUGUUUGGGGUUGUGACAGUGGGUUGACAGUUGGCUCCAUGGCCGAUGUCUUUGUGUAUAAUCCUGACUGAGGUACACACACACACACACACACGUGUGUUAGGAAGACUCCAUUACAUAGAACAUAUACCACAAUUACAAAUAGGUUCAUCGAGAACUCGAUUUAAUGGGCUGUUUAUUAUGGUGCUCUGGUAUCUUGGAAAAUGGCUGAACGCUAAAAGAUGUAGCCUGUGCUUAGCUGUGUUUAUGUGUGAACUGCAGGGAAUGAACCCUUUGACAUGCUGUGGUGUGUCUUUUUGUCUGCUUUCAAUCAGAGAAAUACUCUAUUUUAACAUUCAGCACAUUACGGACUUCACAAAGACCAGAUGACAACAGUGAGGUUGAUGUAAUUGGAGAGAGAGAGGGGUGGGACUAUGAAUUCCUUGUGGCCUUAGAUAGAGGAGGAGAGUGUCUUCCUCAUCACGGCCUCCGAUAGAGGAGGAGAAUGGCUUCCUCAUCGCGGCCCCAGAGGAGAAUGGGUUCCUCAUCGCGGCCUCCGAUAGAAGAGAAUGGCUUCCUCAUCGCGGCCUUCGACAGAGAAGGGAGUGGUAGAGGGAGACUGCCUACACCGGCCAAACCCUAACCCGGACGCCGUUGGGCCAAUUGUGCGCUGCCCUAUGGGACUCCUAAUCACGGCCGGUUGUGAUACAGCCUGGAAUCGAACCAGGAUGUCUGUAGUGACGCCUCUAGCGCUGAGAUGAAGUGCCUACGACCGCUGCGGCCACUCGGGAUUCCGUGAUUCGGUGAUUCCGUUCACCUUCUCCGCACCGCAGAUUUGAUAGGGACCUUCUAAUAGUGUGUCUAGCUGUGGUAGAGAGACUGGCUGGAAGCAGAAUGGACUGGGGAAGGGCGGGAGGUCACAUUUGAACUCUAUGGCACCCUAGUCCCUUUAUAGUGCACUUCAGACUCCUGGUCCAAACUAGUGGUUGUCGUCUCACAACAUUCGUGACUCGUCCUGCUCCACUUGCACUGUAGUCAACGUGUGUCGUUUUUCCACAGAAUGUGAAGACUUCAUCUUCCGGUAGUUUCCACGUUAAUAUAAUAACACCAUUGAAUCCAGCUCAGUCUUCAAAGAGGAAGUGGUAGAAUCCUUCAGGGAGAACUUUAUAGAACUCUGCCGAGGUCGUGCUGUGAAUCUUAAGAUAAUGCAGUGCCUAAUUCUGCACAUACAGAGAGAGAUACACUGCACAGUGCCUAAUUCUGCAUAUACAGAGAUACACUGCACAGUGCCUAAUUCUGCAUAUACAGAGAUACACUGCACAGUGCCUAAUUCUGCAUAUACAGAGAUACACUGCACAGUGCCUAAUUCUGCAUAUACAGAGAUACACUGCACAGUGCCUAAUUCUGCAUAUUCGGAGCUACGCUCCACGGGUGCUACCGUUGCAUAUUCACAGGCAAUAAAGAGCAAUUCUAAGGCUUAUAUAUAUUUGGUGGCUUGGAGCUCUGCUAAGCUGAAAGGAUAGGAAGGUGAGGCACUGACUGUCAUGCCCCAGAGCUUUCUGCAUAGUUGGGCGACAUCCUACCUGCCGUGGUGUAGGAUGAGGUAGAAGGUAGAAUUAAGGGCUUUGAUGGAAUCACAGCGGUGUGGGAUAAUCAUUGGUGUACCUUAGAUUCUGAGCAAAGAGUCCUUAAAAAUGAGUCUGUAGGUAGAUGGGCCUCUUCUGUAUUAGACCCCCUAUAAAAUGAGUCUAGGUAGAUGGGCCUCUUCUAUAUUAGAACCCCUAUAAAAUGAGUCUGGGUAGAUGGGCCUCUUCUUUAUUAGACCCCCUAUAAAAUGAGUCUGUAGGUAGAUGGGCCUCUUCUAUAUUAGACCCCCUAUAAAAUGAGUCUGUAGGUAGAUGGGCCUCUUCUAUAUUAGACCCCCUAUAAAAUGAGUCUGUAGGUAGAUGGGCCUCUUCUAUAUUAGACCCCCUAUAAAAUGAGUCUGUAGGUAGAUGGGCCUCUUCUAUAUUAGACCCCCUAUAAAAUGAGUCUGUAGGUAGAUGGGCCUCUUCUUUAUUAGACCCCCUAUAAAAUGAGUCUGUAGGUAGAUGGGCCUCUUCUUUAUUAGACCCCCUAUAAAAUGAGUCUGUAGGUAGAUGGGCCUCUUCUUUAUUAGACCCCCUAUAAAAUGAGUCUGUAGGUAGAUGGGCCUCUUCUUUAUUAGACCCCCUAUAAAAUGAGUCUGUAGGUAGAUGGGCCUCUUCUUUAUUAAAACCCCAUGUCUGAGAGGAGCUUGUUGUUCGGCUCCAAUAGAUACUGAGACUUACCUCCUGGCUGGCCCAAUAGAUACUGAGACUUACCUCCUGGCUGGCCCA